RNAcentral lists this ribosomal RNA (787 nucleotides) under uncultured bacterium. RNAcentral's name for it is "bacterial SSU rRNA". It matches the Rfam family "Bacterial small subunit ribosomal RNA", at positions 8 to 796 of the family's 1533-position model. The record is from RNAcentral.
AGAGUUUGAUCAUGGCUCAGGAUGAACGCUAGCGGCAGGCUUAACACAUGCAAGUCGAGGGGUAUAAGUCUUCGGAUUUAGAGACCGGCGCACGGGUGCGUAACGCGUAUGCAAUCUACCUUUUACAGAGGGAUAGCCCAGAGAAAUUUGGAUUAAUACCUCAUAGUAUUAUGAAAUGGCAUCAUUUUAUAAUUAAAGUCACAACGGUAAAAGAUGAGCAUGCGUCCCAUUAGCUUGUUGGUAAGGUAACGGCUUACCAAGGCUACGAUGGAUAGGGGUCCUGAGAGGGAGAUCCCCCACACUGGUACUGAGACACGGACCAGACUCCUACGGGAGGCAGCAGUGAGGAAUAUUGGUCAAUGGACGCAAGUCUGAACCAGCCAUGCCGCGUGCAGGAUGACGGUCCUAUGGAUUGUAAACUGCUUUUGCACAGGAAGAAACAACUCUACGUGUAGAGUCUUGACGGUACUGUGAGAAUAAGGAUCGGCUAACUCCGUGCCAGCAGCCGCGGUAAUACGGAGGAUCCAAGCGUUAUCCGGAAUCAUUGGGUUUAAAGGGUCCGCAGGCGGUUUAGUAAGUCAGUGGUGAAAGCCCAUCGCUCAACGGUGGAACGGCCAUUGAUACUGCUAAACUUGAAUUAUUGGGAAGUAACUAGAAUAUGUAGUGUAGCGGUGAAAUGCUUAGAGAUUACAUGGAAUACCAAUUGCGAAGGCAGGUUACUACCAAUAUAUUGACGCUGAUGGACGAAAGCGUGGGGAGCGAACAGGAUUAGAUACCCUAGUAGUCC